RNAcentral lists this ribosomal RNA (406 nucleotides) under uncultured bacterium. RNAcentral describes it as "bacterial SSU rRNA". It matches the Rfam family "Bacterial small subunit ribosomal RNA", at positions 355 to 775 of the family's 1533-position model. The record is from RNAcentral.
UGGGGAAUUUUACGCAAUGGGGGAAACCCUGACGUAGCGACACCGCGUGAGCGAAGAAGCCUUUUGGGGUGUAAAGCUCUGUCAGCUGGAACGAAAACAAUGACGGUACCAGCAGAGGAAGCAUCGGCUAACUACGUGCCAGCAGCCGCGGUAAGACGUAGGAUGCAAGCGUUGUCCGGAUUCAUUGGGCGUAAAGAGUUCGUAGGUGGUUUGUUAAGUUUGGUGUUAAAGAACGGGGCCUAACCCCGGUAGUGCACUGAAUACUGGCAGACUUGAGUGCGGUAGAGGUAAGUGGAAUUCCAAGUGUAGCGGUGAAAUGCAUAGAUAUUUGGAAGAACACCGGUGGCGUAAGCGACUUACUGGGCCGUAACUGACACUGAGGAACGAAAGCCGGGGUAGCGAAUGG